CCUACGGGAGGCUGCAGUGGGGAAUAUUGGACAAUGGGCGCAAGCCUGAUCCAGCCAUGCCGCGUGAGUGAUGACGGCCUUAGGGUUGUAAAGCUCUUUCGCUCGGGACGAUAAUGACGGUACCGAGAUAAGAAGCCCCGGCUAACUUCGUGCCAGCAGCCGCGGUAAUACGAAGGGGGCUAGCGUUGUUCGGAAUUACUGGGCGUAAAGCGCGUGUAGGCGGGUCUUUAAGUCAGGGGUGAAAUGCCAAGGCUCAACCUUGGAACUGCCUUUGAUACUGGAGACCUUGAGUCCGGGAGAGGUGAGUGGAAUUGCGAGUGUAGAGGUGAAAUUCGUAGAUAUUCGCAAGAACACCAGUGGCGAAGGCGGCUCACUGGCCCGGAACUGACGCUGAGACGCGAAAGCGUGGGGAGCAAACAGGAUUAGAUACCCCAGUAGUC
This 440-nucleotide ribosomal RNA is filed under the name uncultured bacterium. RNAcentral describes it as "bacterial SSU rRNA". It matches the Rfam family "Bacterial small subunit ribosomal RNA", at positions 338 to 795 of the family's 1533-position model. The record is from RNAcentral.